UCAAAGAAGAUUUGAUUAUAUGAACAAUUUCACAUUAUUCUGGACUUGAUGUUUCAAUAAAACCAACACAAAAGAGCUUUCACUAUGGCAUCUAAACCAGGUUUAUCGAACGUGCUAAAUAUGAAGCCUACCAGUUCCUUGCGAUAUACAAAAUAUUUUCCAAAUAAUUUAGAGUAUGCAAGCAAGGUUUAUCCGG
Mytilus trossulus (common blue mussel) is the source of this 196-nucleotide long non-coding RNA. RefSeq lists it as uncharacterized. Lineage: Eukaryota; Metazoa; Mollusca; Bivalvia; Mytilida; Mytilidae. The transcript has 2 exons. The record is from RefSeq and is a predicted model, not a curated record.